Long non-coding RNA from Leptidea sinapis, 278 nucleotides. RefSeq lists it as uncharacterized. The transcript is spliced from 2 exons. NCBI's taxonomy places the organism in Eukaryota, Metazoa, Arthropoda, Insecta, Lepidoptera, Pieridae. The record is from RefSeq and is a predicted model, not a curated record.
UGGAAUUACGUAGCACGCUAGGCGUGUUCACCGGCACUGUUAAGAGGUAAAAUCAAAGAAAGCGUUAUUUCGGCUUCAACCGUGUUUAUUGAUCAGUCUUUCUCGAGUUACUGAAGAGAUAUUUUGUUUUUAGCAGUGUUUGUGCUUUUGAAAGUUAAAUUAUGGCAGUUAGUAGAUUCCAAGGGAAAACAAAAUAUGUGCAAGAAACAGUGGAAUAUGAUGAUGAUGCGACGCAAGCAGAUAGCCCACCCUCACAAAAACGCCCAAAAGUAGGAGGU